ACGAACGCUGGCGGCGUGCUUCACACCUGCAAGUCGAACGGAAAGGCCUCUUUCGGGGGGUACUCGAGUGGCGAACGGGUGAGUAACACGUGAGUAACCUGCCCUUGACUUUGGGAUAGCUUCAGGAAACUGGGGCUAAUACCGGAUAGGAGCUCCUGCUGCAUGGUGGGGGUUGGAAAGUUUCGGCGGUUGGGGAUGGACUCGCGGCUUAUCAGCUUGUUGGUGGGGUAGUGGCUUACCAAGGCUUUGACGGGUAGCCGGCCUGAGAGGGUGACCGGCCACAUUGGGACUGAGAUACGGCCCAGACUCCUACGGGAGGCAGCAGUGGGGAAUAUUGCACAAUGGGUGGAAGCCUGAUGCAGCAACGCCGUGUGCGGGAUGACGGCCUUCGGGUUGUAAACCGCUUUCGCUCAUGACGAAGCUUUGUGUGACGGUAGUGGGUAAAGAAGCACCGGCUAACUACGUG
This 466-nucleotide ribosomal RNA is filed under the name uncultured bacterium. RNAcentral describes it as "partial 16S ribosomal RNA". It matches the Rfam family "Bacterial small subunit ribosomal RNA", at positions 29 to 507 of the family's 1533-position model. The record is from RNAcentral.